RNAcentral lists this ribosomal RNA (97 nucleotides) under Sporosarcina limicola. RNAcentral's name for it is "Filibacter limicola Bacterial large subunit ribosomal RNA". It matches the Rfam family "Bacterial large subunit ribosomal RNA", at positions 2828 to 2925 of the family's 2925-position model. The record is from Rfam by way of RNAcentral. Lineage: Bacteria; Bacillati; Bacillota; Bacilli; Caryophanales; Caryophanaceae.
GUAAGACCCCUCAAAGAAGAUGAGGUUGAUAGGUUCGGGGUGGAAGCGCGGCGACGUGUGGAGCUGACGAAUACUAAUCGGUCGAGGACUUAACCAA